UACGAAGGGAGCUAGCGUUGUUCGGAAUUACUGGGCGUAAAGAGCGCGUAGGCGGUUUAACAAGUCAGGCGUGAAAGCCCUGGGCUCAACCCGGGAAUUGCGCUUGAGACUGUUUUUCUAAGAGUACGAGAGAGGUAAGUGGAAUUCCCAGUGUAGCAGUGAAAUGCGUAGAUAUUGGGAGGAACACCAGUGGCGAAGGCGGCUUACUGGCUCGUGACUGACGCUAAGGCGCGAAAGCGUGGGGAGCAAACAGG
RNAcentral lists this ribosomal RNA (254 nucleotides) under uncultured bacterium. Its description in RNAcentral is "partial 16S ribosomal RNA". It matches the Rfam family "Bacterial small subunit ribosomal RNA", at positions 524 to 776 of the family's 1533-position model. The record is from RNAcentral.